Neofelis nebulosa (Clouded leopard) is the source of this 740-nucleotide long non-coding RNA. RefSeq lists it as uncharacterized. The record is from RefSeq and is a predicted model, not a curated record. The transcript is spliced from 5 exons. Lineage: Eukaryota; Metazoa; Chordata; Mammalia; Carnivora; Felidae.
UCUGUGGGGAUGGCCUUUGUGAGGAGAGUGAGAUCUGCUCCAUGUGUCUAGCUGACUAUAGGAAAUGUCUACUUCCUGUAGAUGCCUGGAUGAUGAUUACCCUUCUAAUCUGCUUGGUCUCUACUGCCUCUGCCUUGACCAUUCUGGUAUGCCAUAAUUUUGAUUGCCUCAUGAAGUGACCCAAGCUUGGAAGGAAGAGGCUUCUUCUGUUAGGCAUUCCAGUGUCUCUUGAGGAGCUAAUUACAGGGAAGCCUGAGAAUUGCUGUCUUUGCCCUUCAGAGUAUGCAGAGGAUGUUCAGCUUUGGAAACCAGCCACCUUUCUGUGAGAAAACCUGAACCAUCUGACACAGAGAGACCACAUGGAGAGGCCAUGUGGAAAGGAACUGAACCUCAAGCUGAGUGCCAGCAUCAACUGCCAGACACAAUAGAUCCAGUUUCCCACCUUUAACUCUGCUGUGAUGUUUUCCCUGAGUUCAACUGAUACAAAGGUAAGAGUCAAUAUUAUUAAUUGUAGGGAGGAACUGGGUUUCAAGGUAAUUUUAUUUGGGGGUGAUACUCAGGAACCCUGGUAGCCCUAGUCGCUCCAAGUUCAGAAGUCUCUCUCUUUUAAUAGCCAAAUAUCCAUCAUCUGAGUCCCUAAUAUUCUACCAGGUAAGCAUCUCCAGGGUGCCAUAGGAAUUUCUCAGGAACCCUGAAACAUUUCGUAAUUUACCCUGGUUGUUGCUUGUCACCUUGGACUG